Molecule: long non-coding RNA, 822 nt
Filed under: Hordeum vulgare
Lineage: Eukaryota; Viridiplantae; Streptophyta; Magnoliopsida; Poales; Poaceae
Description: long non-coding RNA (HVUL_LNC013161)
Source: RNAcentral
UAAGUGAGAUAUUUUCUCACCCCUUGGCUUAGAGAUGGUUUUGACGAAGGUCGUCAUAAAGGAUAGCUACCAUCACAAAUAUAAUAGUACAUGUUGUAACCAUGAUCAUUAGUGUUGUAGUUACACACAGAAGCUUGUCCCACACACAACCUUUCAAACAAUGAAGACUGCUACAAUACAUUGAUGUUAUUGUGAGACCCAAACAUCAAAAGAAUGCUAAAUCCAGAGGCCUUGUAUGCAAUAUGUUUAAGAUUGACGGUGGAUUUGUUGUAAUGGCCGUGAUAUUGCCCAUUGACAGCAUAUGGACAAUUCUUCCAUUUUAGAUGCAUGCAAUCGAGGAAUCCUAACAUACCUCGCCACCCUCUUCCUUCCAACGAUGUGAUGAGUCGUUGGUGUCUUCCUCAGUUGGUUCUCUCAAGUACUCCACUACAAACACCUUCAUCAUCGUAGUAGCAAACUUGACCAUGGCUUUGAGAUAUAUGGUUUCAGACAUCCAGAGGUACUCAUUCCACGAAUUUACGAUCAUUCCAUAGGAAAGCAUACUCAAGGCAAUCAUUACCUUCUGGUAAUCAGAGAGUCCAAUGUUUUCAAUGAUAUCCUUUUACAAUACGAAGAAGUCAUCAUAUACUCAAUCACCCUUGUAAAGGCGACCGGACAUAAUUGGGCUCAUCCGGAAUCGACGGUGAAAAAAGCACUGAAAUAUCGCAUCAGGGGAAACGUAGUCAUUCACCAACAUCCUAUGCCCUCGUACCCUCUUCCGNNNNNNNNNNNNNUCUUCCGAUUCAACACUUGAUGCCCCUUGAUUGAUCUCUUGAAAUUUAG